This 1466-nucleotide unclassified non-coding RNA is filed under the name Hevea brasiliensis (rubber tree). Lineage: Eukaryota; Viridiplantae; Streptophyta; Magnoliopsida; Malpighiales; Euphorbiaceae. The record is from RNAcentral.
GCUACAGUAAUGAUGUAGCAGAAAGGGAAAAUUAGAAAAAUUAAAAUAAAAUCAGUGCAGAACUGACAGAAAUUUGCAGAAUUAGAAAGAAGUUUAAAUGCUCAGGUUGCUUUCUUAAGUGAAACUUCCCAAGUUAGCUUUCCCAAUUCCAUUAUAAUUAAGCAUCCUCUCCUCCUCGGCAAAAUGUCAUUGGUGUCCAAGAGCGUGCAAGAAAUGUCGUUUGCCGGUGAUGAACCACCGCCUGAAUACAUUGUCAAUGGAUGCAAUUUUGCUCCUUCGGAUUUAUCCUCCUGCUCCUUCUCAUCUCUGUUUCCUGUUAUUGAUAUCAGUCUCUUCUCCUCGUCUUCUGCUCACAACAGCAAGGAGGAAGUAGACAAUGCAUUGGAAACACUGAGAUCAGCUCUCAGCUCAACGGGGUGCUUCCAGGCGAUAGGACAUGGUAUGUCAAGUUCAUUCCUUGACAAGGUACGUGAAGUGGCCAUUCAGUUUUUUGAACUUCCAGUUGAAGAGAAGCAGAAAUAUGCCCGUGCUGUGAAUGAGUCUGAAGGGUAUGGGAGUGACAUGAUAGUUUCAGCAAAUCAAGUUCUUGACUGGUCUCAUCGCCUCAGUCUCAGGGUAUUUCCUGAAGAACGAAGAAGGAACAAUCUUUGGCCAGAAAACCCUAAUGAUUUCAGAGAGACCUUGCUGGAAUAUGCCCUGAAGACAAAGUCUGUGAUGGAUCUUCUCUAUAAGGCCAUGGCGAGGUCACUGAAUUUGGAAGAGAACAGCUUCUCCGGCCAGUUUGGUGAACGAUCCCUAAUGCAAGCCAGAUUCAACUUCUAUCCAAGGUGUUCAAGACCUGAUUUGGUUCAUGGUGUCAAACCUCACACUGAUAGAUCAGGCAUUACAAUUCUCUUGCAAGACAGAGAAGUUGAAGGCCUUCAAAUUUUAGCAAAUAACAAAUGGGCUAGAGUUCCUGUAAUUCCUGAUGCUCUUGUCGUCAAUCUCGGAGAUCAAAUGCAGAUAAUGAGUAAUGGAGUAUUCAGAAGCCCAAUGCACAGGGUAGUGACAAACACAGAAAGGUUGAGGACAUCUGUGGCCUUAUUCCAUGAACCAGAGCCAGAAAAAGAGAUUGGGCCUGUGGAUAGCUUGGUGAAUGAGCAAAGACCAAGAUUAUACAGACAUGUGAAAAAUUAUGGUUUUAUCAACUAUGAGUGCUACCAGAAAGGGAUAGUAGCAAUUGACACUGUGAAAAUAUAAUCCUCCACUCUUCUAGCAAUCUACUGUUGAAUGUAUCAAAACUAUAUGAUUAUGAUCCUAAUGUAAUAAUGUCACAAACUCCUUGGAUUCUAAAUUCAUUGCAGCUCUAGGAGACUAUUUCCCUAGCUAUCUUGUCCGUUCUCGAUAUCAGGCUUUUCUAAAGCCCAAAAGGGCUCAAUGGAAGUUUGUCAAUGCAGCUCUACUGUAUCAGCAUUUCCUGAUCAAAA